GCCUACGGGGGGCAGCAGUGGGGAAUAUUGGACAAUGGGGGAAACCCUGAUCCAGCGACGCCGCGUGAGUGAAGAAGUAUUUCGGUACGUAAAGCUCUAUCAGCAGGAAAGAAAAUGACGGUACCUGACUAAGAAGCCCCGGCUAACUACGUGCCAGCAGCCGCGGUAAUACGUAGGGGGCAAGCGUUAUCCGGAUUUACUGGGUGUAAAGGGAGCGCAGGCGGCGCGGUAAGUCUGAUGUGAAAGCCCGGGGCUCAACCCCGGGACUGCAUUGGAAACUGUCGUGCUGGAGUGUCGGAGGGGCA
This 305-nucleotide ribosomal RNA is filed under the name uncultured bacterium. Its description in RNAcentral is "bacterial SSU rRNA". It matches the Rfam family "Bacterial small subunit ribosomal RNA", at positions 337 to 659 of the family's 1533-position model. The record is from RNAcentral.